RNAcentral lists this ribosomal RNA (482 nucleotides) under uncultured bacterium. RNAcentral describes it as "partial 16S ribosomal RNA". It matches the Rfam family "Bacterial small subunit ribosomal RNA", at positions 30 to 507 of the family's 1533-position model. The record is from RNAcentral.
AUUGAACGCUGGCGGCAUGCCUUACACAUGCAAGUCGAACGGUAACAGGUCUUCGGAUGCUGACGAGUGGCGAACGGGUGAGUAAUACAUCGGAACGUGCCCGCUCGUGUGGGAUAACGAGUCGAACGCUUUGCUAAUACCGCAUACGAUCUACGGAUGAAAGCGGGGGAUCUUCGGACCUCGCGCGGUCGGAGCGGCCGAUGGCAGAUUAGGUAGUUGGUGGGAUAAAAGCUUACCAAGCCGACGAUCUGUAGCUGGUCUGAGAGGAUGAUCAGCCACACUGGGACUGAGACACGGCCCAGACUCCUACGGGAGGCAGCAGUGGGGAAUUUUGGACAAUGGGCGAAAGCCUGAUCCAGCCAUGCCGCGUGCAGGAUGAAGGCCUUCGGGUUGUAAACUGCUUUUGUACGGAACGAAAAGCCUCUUUCUAAUAAAGAGGGGUCAUGACGGUACCGUAAGAAUAAGCACCGGCUAACUACGUG